This 735-nucleotide ribosomal RNA is filed under the name uncultured bacterium. RNAcentral's name for it is "bacterial SSU rRNA". It matches the Rfam family "Bacterial small subunit ribosomal RNA", at positions 335 to 1062 of the family's 1533-position model. The record is from RNAcentral.
ACUCCUACGGGUGGCUGCAGUCGAGAAUCUUUCGCAAUGGACGAAAGUCUGACGAAGCGACGCCGCGUGUGUGAUGAAGGCCUUAGGGUUGUAAAGCACUUUCGCCUGGGAAUAAGAGAGAUUGGCUAAUAUCCAAUCGAUUUGAGCGUACCAGGUAAAGAAGCACCGGCUAACUCCGUGCCAGCAGCUGCGGUAAUACGGAGGGUGCUAGCGUUAAUCGGAUUUAUUGGGCGUAAAGGGCGUGUAGGCGGAAAGGAAAGUUAGAUGUUAAAUUUUGGGGCUCAACCCCAAGUCAGCAUUUAAAACUAUCUUUCUAGAGGAUAGAUGGGGAAAAGGGAAUUCCACGUGUAGCGGUGAAAUGCGUAGAUAUGUGGAAGAACACCAGUGGCGAAGGCGCUUUUCUAAUUUAUACCUGACGCUAAGGCGCGAAAGCAAGGGGAGCAAACAGGAUUAGAUACCCUGGUAGUCCUUGCCGUAAACGAUGCAUACUUGAUGUGGAUGGUCUCAACCCCAUCCGUGUCGGAGCUAACGUGUUAAGUAUGCCGCCUGAGGAGUACACUCGCAAGGGUGAAACUCAAAAGAAUUGACGGGGGCCCGCACAAGCAGUGGAGCAUGUGGUUUAAUUCGAUGCAACGCGAAGGACCUUACCUGGACUUGACAUGUAUUUGACAACUGUAGAAAUACAGCUUUCCGCAAGGACAGAUACACAGGUGGUGCAUGGAUGUCGUCAGCUCG